UUAACAUGUCUAAACUUAACAUAAACCUACUAAUAUGGCAAAUUGGCAAAUGUUUGUAAAUUUACUAGCUUUUUCUGAGUGAAUACACUUUCCAAGCUUUUUUCAAGUAAAUCCUACUCCAAAUUAUUUUUACAGUGAAUAUCUAAACAAACUAGAGUUGGAAAAAUAGCACGUUCAUUUCUGCAUUUAAUAACUGCAUUGUAAUAAAUAUAUUUUGCAGUUAGUGCAUUCAGAAUAAUAAAAUAUAAUAUAAUAUAACAAAAUAUAAUGUUAACUGAUUAUUCACCAUUAAUUGCGGAAAUAUGUUAAAUUAGUUUGUUGGUUUUAUUAUUAUUUUUUAUUUCUCACACCUCUCAAAGGCACUAUCAUCUUAAAAGCAAUACACAGGAUGUCAAUUCAGCGGGCCAAUUUUUCGAACCAGUGGAGUACUGAAAUCUUUGACUGCAUGAAAGUGAAGGAUAAAACAGAUUGUUUCCUUUCAAUCUUCUGCUUUCCAUAUUUUGCGUGUAAGACGGCUAAGAGGUAUGGAGAGUGUUUUUGCCUUCCUCUGAUUGAUGGAUUUGGUUUGAUGAGGGUAUCCAUGCGUCAUCAUUACGGCAUUGAGGGUAGUCUCUUGACUGACUGCUUGAUUUCCUACUUCUGUUGUCCCUGCGUAUGGUGUCAGAUGUCUCGGGAAAUGAACGCCCAUGAAACUGUAACACGUCAACCUUAAUGAACUCAACUGCCAAUCGACAACAUCCUCAUUUUCCCUCAUUACUUUUUUGGUACUAUACAUGCCCAUGUAAUAUAUUAUUAUAUAAAUAUUACUACCUAAUAUUACCCCAAAUAUUACUUUAUAUUGUGUCCCAAUUGGUAGAAAUAAUUCCCAACAUUUCUCAGCAAUGACACGAUCUGUAUACAUUACCUUUAUAUGAGAUUAUCCUGUUGCCUUGUGCUGACUGUAUGUUUAGGCCUAAAGGUUUGUAUAGUUUAGUAAAUGAAUACAUCAAUCUUCGCACUUUACUGGUUUGUGAAAAUUACUAAUAUGGAAUAAAAGCUAAUGGAGAAAAAAAGACAUACAUAUAAAAAAAAAAAUUUGUAGGCUAAUUUUGAUUAAUAGUCAGACAAAUUACAUAAAAAUAAAAAUAAACUGAGAUAAAAAAAAAAAAAAAGUAUUAUUAUUUAAUUCCACCAGUAGGUGGCAUACAUUUACCAGUAAUCAGUAAAUUGAAGAAAACGAAACCUGGGUCCUGUUGUUCGGUUAGUUUAGUCUGAAUCUGAAUGAUCUGGAUUUUGAAACCCUAUUUGUUUUACCAUCUAGGAUCAGGUAACACAUCAACUUUUGAGCUGAUUUUUCAAAGCAAAAUUGGAUUGGAUCACCCUGAUCCAGA
Molecule: long non-coding RNA, 1370 nt
Organism: Carassius gibelio (silver crucian carp)
Lineage: Eukaryota; Metazoa; Chordata; Actinopteri; Cypriniformes; Cyprinidae
Exons: 3
Source: RefSeq, a predicted model, not a curated record